This 201-nucleotide long non-coding RNA is filed under the name Vigna radiata. RNAcentral's name for it is "long non-coding RNA (VRAD_LNC000488)". The record is from RNAcentral. Lineage: Eukaryota; Viridiplantae; Streptophyta; Magnoliopsida; Fabales; Fabaceae.
GGGAAAUGAGUUUUACAUUGUAUUUUUAAGAUAUGAUUACUUAUUUGCAAUGCAUUAUGCGGUGUGGUCCCCUAUUUCAUUUUGAAAUGUGUAGAAUUUGUGCUCCCCUAUUUGUGUUUUUUUGGUGGUGGGGGAUCUUAGUUUGUCCCUCAUUUGCGUCUUUGAGUGGUAACCAGUAUAAUAUGUUUAAUAUUUUGUGGG